GAUGAACGCUGGCGGCGUGCCUAAUACAUGCAAGUCGAGCGAACAGACGAGGAGCUUGCUCCUCUGACGUUAGCGGCGGACGGGUGAGUAACACGUGGAUAACCUACCUAUAAGACUGGGAUAACUUCGGGAAACCGGAGCUAAUACCGGAUAACAUGUUGAACCGCAUGGUUCAACAGUGAAAGACGGUCUUGCUGUCACUUAUAGAUGGAUCCGCGCCGCAUUAGCUAGUUGGUAAGGUAACGGCUUACCAAGGCAACGAUGCGUAGCCGACCUGAGAGGAGGAUCGGCACCAGGUGAGAGAGGACCAGGCCCAAACCCCGGAGGGAGGCAGGAGUAGGAAUUCUACCGGAAGGGGCGAAAGCCGAAGGGGGCAACGGGGCGGAAGUAAAAAAGGUCUUCGACGCGUAAAACUUUUUUUUUAGGGAAGAACAAAGUUUUAAGUAACGUGCCGCGUUUGACCGUAACCUAAGAAAAAGCCCCGGGUAAAUUCGGG
RNAcentral lists this ribosomal RNA (496 nucleotides) under uncultured bacterium. RNAcentral describes it as "partial 16S ribosomal RNA". It matches the Rfam family "Bacterial small subunit ribosomal RNA", at positions 28 to 507 of the family's 1533-position model. The record is from RNAcentral.